This is a long non-coding RNA of Herpailurus yagouaroundi (jaguarundi), 747 nucleotides long. RefSeq lists it as uncharacterized. The record is from RefSeq and is a predicted model, not a curated record. Lineage: Eukaryota; Metazoa; Chordata; Mammalia; Carnivora; Felidae. The transcript is spliced from 4 exons.
AUAAAGGAGUCAGGACAGGAGGUCAUUACAGAGAGUGAGCAGUAGUAUGAAGAAAAUAAAACUCAUAGACGCGUGAAGAGUAAGUUGGGAGAGGUGGGCUACUUCUACACUGGAUGGUCCUGAAGGUUUCUCCAAGGAGGAAGUGAAUGUAAACCCGUGUAGCCCAGCGCCUGGCAGGAGUUAAGAGCACCACACAUGCUGUUCCAUUAAAAUAUGUAUAUAUACAAUUAUUUAUGUCUGGGACAGCCAGUGGAGUUUGCAAGCUGAUAUUCUGGCGUUAUGAUCAUCUCCCCGGCCCUCUUUUCUUCAGCCUCCAAGCAAUGGAGCAAACAGUAAAGCAAAGUACUUGGAGAGAAGUCUUUGUCGUUCUUCAGGAGGCUUCACAGGAAGAGGUUUCCUUCCCGGAUUCUGUGAUAAGCUGUGAUUCCCUGGGUGUAAACAGAAGGGAGUUGAAAUGGACUCAUUCGGUGAUCGUGAAUAGUGAUUCCUAAGUUAUGGACUGAGAACUCCUCGGAGCAAUGGCUAAGGAAACAUUGCAAGAGAUCCUUGGAUCUGUUGUCUGCGGAGUGGAUAAGGGCCCACGACAGCGUUUUCAUCUAUAAGUGGGUCUUCGGCCUUGAGAAGGAAUCUUGGCCAUCACUGAGGUGAAGUACAGUGACGGAUGUGUUGGGGCACCUGGGUGGCUCAGUCCGUUCAGCGUUCCGACCCUUGAUAGUGGCUCAGAUCAUGAUCUCACGGUUUGGGAGU